UGACGUAACUUCCGACGUUUAUCGAAACGAUGAUGGCGACCUCCAUCGGCCGUGGUCCGUGACAGUACGACCCGUUCUAUUCAAACAGAAAUACGUGGUUAUCGCUGUACACGUAAGCCUUAAAUGACAAGUUGUUUUCUACGCAUCUGUCGACUUUUUUUUCUAGGGGUAAGGCGGGUUUUUGUGCAUCACGUCUCAUACACUUUCAUGCUUCCAGCCAGCAAAUCUCUCGCGAGGUGACAGACAUCAUGAUCCCAGACUCUCUCUCAGAGAUUAACAUUAUAAAACAGGGUUUCCUUUUGUCCAUAAGGAGACACUUGCAUAACAAUCAAUCAGUUUAAUAGUUUUAAUAAAUGUUAUCUGCACAAACUCACCUCGCGACUGUGUCCAAAAGCAACACAGAAGUUCAGGCACCACAUUCAAAGCAGUGGCCAGCAGCUGGAGGCAGUUGCUGUGGAAACCGCAUCAGCUGAACCGAAUCUGCUGUCAGUCUUCAGAACUUCACAGCAAGAUCCAACGUACCAUUCAGAAAGACAUACUGGGCGGUAUUACAAGCUCCCCCCGGCUCACAUCCAAAAACUCUUCCCUUAUGGACUGCCUCCUGAUGCACAUACCUGAUGCUCAUCUGCAGGUUAAGAACUGUAAAGAGCUGGUACCAUCUUCUUCCCGCCCCUCACGCUUCGACCAGCCAAUCCAAGCAUCCCAAUGGCUGAAGAACUUCAAAAUCACUCGCUGUGCGAAAGCUGAGGCUGCAGGCAGGGGGCGCCAUAGAGGACGAGGGGGCCUUUAAACUGGCUGUAGCUGUGGAUGGAGUAAAUGCUCUGUGGGGCAAAAAAUCUCUCCGAAAGGAGGACAGAACUAUGUGUGAGAGCCAGAGGAACUGACUUUGAUUCAUAAUCUGAGGAAGAUGAUGAAAAACAACUGGCUGCCCAGACGCACCCCACGAUCCAGCGAAUUUCCACCCAGAACAUGCCUCUGUUGCAAACAGGAAGUAGAACCAGAAGUCGGUUGUCAUCAAGGAUCAUGAGGCGAGUUUGGAGAGAGAAUGAAGAAUGGAGUCCUAGACCCAGAUCCAGGGCAAUCCACACACACUGUGUCUCCGGACUCCGGAGGAAAACCCAAAGCCUGAAAACUGUAAUUUGUCAAUUAAAAGGAUAAAGCUCUUAUAAAGCAUUCAUGUUAUUUUAUGUUAAAUUACUCUAACCAGGAGGCGCUAUUCUGCCUUCAAAAAUUGGGUUUUAAAAGCCUAGUCUCUAUUUUAAUCUGAAAUACUGCAUUAAUUGAAAAGUAAUUGUAAAAAAAGUAGAUUUUUUUAAAAUUAUUUUCAAUGGGAAAAAAUUAUCAUAAUGCAUAAAUAUUAAUUAGUACCAUGAGAUUCAAAAGAAAAAAUAUAACUGAAUAAAAAUAUAUCAGAUUGAUUUUACUGAAAAAAAAAAAGUUAAAUUUCAGGUGUCACAACUUUCACUUAAAAAAAAUGCUUUCUAAAGCUUAAGUUUGCUAUUAAAUAUAGCUUUCACUAGCAUAUGUGUUUACUGCUAAACAGCUAUUACUGUUAAGUGCUAACAUUUGCAAGCAUGCGCAUUACUUUUUUCCAGUAUACUUGGGUUGUGUGUAAAAUUACACAUUGAUUUAUAAAUCUGUUAUAUAAUCCAAAUACAGCAUUCUUCUAUACAAUAUGCAAAACUAUCUAGUAGCCUCUAGCCUCUCACUGCAGAAGACAAGAUCUAGGGGUGGAGAUUGGUAGGUUUAGGAGGCGGAGAUGGGUGGGUUUAGGAAUUGGGGGUGGAGACAGAUAGGUUUAGGUAUAUGUAAUGUGGGAGGAGUUGGAUCUGGAUCCAACCACGCCCCCCGGAUUUAUGUUUUGCAGUGAGGACCAUCUCAUCUUUUUGUACCUGACAGCAAGUUCCUGUGGGAGGAGUCACAUAGAGUGGGCAUGGCCUUGGAAAUUUACAUCUAUAUCAGACCUGAUGCCUCAGCUGUGUAAAUGGUUAUCAACAGGUAAGAGUAUGUGAUAAUUACAUUUAAAAUGACUGCAGCAACCACAACUACAAAUAAAUAAUUUCACUCAAGUCAAUGGUGGUUUAUAAUCUAUACAUCUCGCUUGAUAAAUCUUAAAAGUAAGCUGUUUGGGAACAUGCUAGGAUUUGGCAGUCAGAAGACGAUUUAUGAGUCAAUUAUUAAUUUGAAAUGCAAUGAAAAUUGUGAUCGAGUCAUGUUUUAACAAAUAAUGCCAACAUUGCUGGAAAAACUUGAUGUAUAAGACACUAAGAAUUAAAAAGACACAAUAAAUGCAACUUUUCACAGACAUCUCUUCUGAGAAUGCAUAUUUAUGGCAACAAAAAUCCGUAGGAAGUUCUGAAUGCAUUUGUGGUUCAUCUGUGCCAUAAGAUGUCAACAUGUCUCCUGGUUUUUAUUCAGUUUUAUUAUUAAUACAUCAUGGUCAUACACAUCAUAUAAUAUAUAUUUAUAUACUUUAAUAUUUAGCAAUUCAUCAUCAUUUUUUUUUGUUUUUCAUCUUCCUUAAAUGAGUUUUCCAACUAAAAUUAUUUACAUUCGAAGAAACUGUAAUAGAAAUGAGUGAACAGAACUAAAUCAAAUUCAACUGAAUGACAUUGAUAGGUUUGUGAUAUAUAUACACACCAGAGUUGGAAUCAAAAAGGACAGAAAGACAAAACUUCAUGAUCUCCUGAACAAAAGGGAUGCGAGAACAACAAAAAACCUGGGGAAGUAAAGCAACUUUCAUGAACCGUAAAGACACGGCACCCCCAUCCCAAUGAGAAUUCACAUUGAACGAUAAAAAACGCUAUCUGGGGAGUACAGCUCGUCUCUGGGAAACUGAACACUGUACCAUCUAAAUGUGGGGUGGGAGUUGUGCUGCUAUAGCAACAAUGCGUCCGAGCCAAUCCGCAUCUUGCUCUGUUAGUUUGUUUGUUUGUUCACUCAGGGUAGGAAUAAGGGAAGGGUAUACUAUACAAAAUUCUGUGUGGAAAACUGUGGAGGGGGUCAAAGACAUCUGAAAGACACAGAAACAUUAGGACAGACAAAAAUGAGAAGGACUGUGUUAGAGAACAGAGGUAUACAAACCAUAGUAAAAUAUACCAACAUGAACACAAAUGAUAGACAAAAAAAGCAAA
Molecule: RNA transcript, 3134 nt
Organism: Carassius gibelio (silver crucian carp)
Lineage: Eukaryota; Metazoa; Chordata; Actinopteri; Cypriniformes; Cyprinidae
Gene name: 28S ribosomal protein S29, mitochondrial
Exons: 8
Source: RefSeq, a predicted model, not a curated record